RNAcentral lists this ribosomal RNA (283 nucleotides) under Sciomesa mesophaea. Its description in RNAcentral is "partial 16S large subunit ribosomal RNA". Lineage: Eukaryota; Metazoa; Arthropoda; Insecta; Lepidoptera; Noctuidae. The record is from RNAcentral.
AAAUAAUUUAAAAAGACGAGAAGACCCUAUAGAGUUUUAUAAAUAAAUUAAUUGAGAUUAUUUAUUAAAUAAAAAUUAAAAUUAAGUUAUUUAUUAUGUUGGGGUGAUAGAAAAAUGUAAUUAACUUUUUUUAUAUAUAAAACAUCUAUAAGUGACUAUAUGAUCCAAUAUUAUUGAUUAUAAGAAAAAAUUACCUUAGGGAUAACAGCGUAAUUUUUUUUUUUAGUUCAUAUAAGAAAAAGAGUUUGCGACCUCGAUGUUGGAUUAAGAUAAAAUUUAAAUG